AUACGGAGGGUGCAAGCGUUGUUCGGAAUUAUUGGGCGUAAAGAGCAUGUAGGCGGACUGUUAAGUCUGGUGUGAAAGCCCGGGGCUCAACCCCGGAAGUGCAUUGGAUACUGGCAGUCUUGAGUAUGGGAGAGGAAAGUGGAAUUCCGAGUGUAGGAGUGAAAUCCGUAGAUAUUCGGAGGAACACCAGUGGCGAAGGCGGCUUUCUGGACCAAUUCUGACGCUGAGAUGCGAAAGCGUGGGGAGCGAACAGGAUUAGAUACCCUAGUAGUCC
Molecule: ribosomal RNA, 274 nt
Filed under: uncultured bacterium
Lineage: Bacteria
Description: partial 16S ribosomal RNA
Rfam family: Bacterial small subunit ribosomal RNA
Source: RNAcentral